GCUCAGAAGCACUCAGAUCUACAUCAGAGGGUGACAGCACAAACCAGUAGUUCCAGUUCACUGUGGUUUGUAUGCUCCAGAGACUUUUCUAAUAGCAAAUCUGUUCCAAGCGUCACUUACGCAGCAACAGCAGUCACAGAAGCAUGCAUCACAUUGGCCCCACAUCAUCAGGACACAAACAUGGGUCAUCACUACCACAUGCAACACAAGAGAGGCUUCUCUGCUCACAGAUAUUCAGCUUAACCUUCACAUCUGCAGAGCUGGACCGGCCUCAGCAUUAGCCAGCGUGAGUUGUCUCCUUUCCACUUUGUGCUUUCCAGAGACAGAGAACACAGCAGGAAUGACAGCUCUCACUCUCCUGGGUGGCUGAGUCACUGGCCCAAAUAAAUGAAACUCCAUUAAUU
This 404-nucleotide long non-coding RNA is filed under the name Anas platyrhynchos (mallard). RNAcentral's name for it is "lncRNA (ENSAPLG00020017794.1)". Lineage: Eukaryota; Metazoa; Chordata; Aves; Anseriformes; Anatidae. The record is from RNAcentral.